CUCGCUGUGAAGAUGCAGUGUACCCGCGGCAAGACGGAAAGACCCCGUGAACCUUUACUAUAGCUUGACACUGAACAUUGAGCCUUGAUGUGUAGGAUAGGUGGGAGGCUUUGAAGUGUGGACGCCAGUCUGCAUGGAGCCGACCUUGAAAUACCACCCUUUAAUGUUUGAUGUUCUAACGUGGGCCCCUUACCGGGGUUGCGGACAGUGUCUGGUGGGUAGUUUGACUGGGGCGGUCUCCUCCUAAAGAGUAACGGAGGAGCACGAAGGUUGGCUAAUCCUGGUCGGACAUCAGGAGGUUAGUGCAAUGGCAUAAGCCAGCUUGACUGCGAGCGUGACGGCGCGAGCAGGUGCGAAAGCAGGUCAUAGUGAUCCGGUGGUUCUGAAUGGAAGGGCCAUCGCUCAACGGAUAAAAGGUACUCCGGGGAUAACAGGCUGAUACCGCCCAAGAGUUCAUAUCGACGGCGGUGUUUGGCACCUCGAUGUCGGCUCAUCACAUCCUGGGGCUGAAGUAGGUCCCAAGGGUAUGGCUGUUCGCCAUUUAAAGUGGUACGCGAGCUGGGUUUAGAACGUCGUGAGACAGUUCGGUCCCUAUCUGCCGUGGGCGCUGGAGAACUGAGGGGGGCUGCUCCUAGUACGAGAGGACCGGAGUGGACGCAUCACUGGUGUUCGGGUUGUCAUGCCAAUGGCACUGCCCGGUAGCUAAAUGCGGAAGAGAUAAGUGCUGAAAGCAUCUAAGCACGAAACUUGCCCCGAGAUGAGUUCUCCCUGACUCCUUGAGAGUCCUGAAGGAACGUUGAAGACGACGACGUUGAUAGGCCGGGUGUGUAAGCGCAGCGAUGCGUUGAGCUAACCGGUACUAAUGAACCGUGAGGCUUAACCUUACAACGCCGAAG
This 896-nucleotide ribosomal RNA is filed under the name Escherichia coli. RNAcentral describes it as "partial 23S ribosomal RNA". It matches the Rfam family "Bacterial large subunit ribosomal RNA", at positions 2045 to 2925 of the family's 2925-position model. Lineage: Bacteria; Pseudomonadati; Pseudomonadota; Gammaproteobacteria; Enterobacterales; Enterobacteriaceae. The record is from RNAcentral.